Molecule: ribosomal RNA, 301 nt
Filed under: uncultured bacterium
Lineage: Bacteria
Description: partial 16S ribosomal RNA
Rfam family: Bacterial small subunit ribosomal RNA
Source: RNAcentral
CAGCCGCCACGGGAAUACAGAGGGUGCAAGCGUUAAUCGGAAUUACUGGGCGUAAAGGGCGCGUAGGUGGUUGCGUAAGUGAGAUGUGAAAUCCCCGGGCUUAACCUGGGACGUGCAUCUUAUACUGCGUAACUGGAGUGCAAGAGAGGGUAGUGGAAUUCCCGGUGUAGCGGUGAAAUGCGUAGAUAUCGGAAGGAACACCAGUGGCGAAGGCGGCUACCUGGCUUGACACUGACACUGAGGCGCGAAAGCGUGGGGAGCAAACAGGAUUAGAUACCCCCGUAGUCCCUGUCUCUUAUAC